RNAcentral lists this ribosomal RNA (660 nucleotides) under uncultured Bacillota bacterium. RNAcentral's name for it is "bacterial SSU rRNA". It matches the Rfam family "Bacterial small subunit ribosomal RNA", at positions 191 to 865 of the family's 1533-position model. The record is from RNAcentral. Lineage: Bacteria; Bacillati; Bacillota.
GCAUAUAAGAGGAAAGGAGCAAUCCGCAUAUAGAUGGGUCCGCGUCCCAUUAGCUAGUUGGAGGUGUAAGAGACCCCCAAGGCGACGAUGGGUAGCCGGCCUGAGAGGGUGGACGGCCACACUGGAACUGAGACACGGUCCAGACUCCUACGGGAGGCAGCAGUGGGGAAUCUUCCGCAAUGGGCGAAAGCCUGACGGAGCAACGCCGCGUGAGUGAAGAAGGCCUUCGGGUCGUAAAACUCUGUCUUCAGGGAAGAAAAAAAUGACGGUACCUGAGGAGGAAGCCCCGGCUAACUACGUGCCAGCAGCCGCGGUAAAACGUAGGGGGCGAGCGUUGUCCGGAAUUACUGGGCGUAAAGGGCGCGUAGGCGGUCAUUUAAGUCAGAGGUGAAAACUACCGGCUCAACCGGUAGCCUGCCUUUGAAACUGGAUGACUUGAGGGCAGGAGAGGGGAGUGGAAUUCCCAGUGUAGCGGUGAAAUGCGUAGAUAUUGGGAGGAACACCAGUGGCGAAGGCGGCUCUCUGGCCUGUUUCUGACGCUGAGGCGCGAAAGCGUGGGGAGCGAACGGGAUUAGAUACCCCGGUAGUCCACGCCGUAAACGAUGGGUGCUAGGUGUAGGAGGUAUCGACCCCUUCUGUGCCGUAGCUAACGCAAUAAGC